AACUGCGAAUGGCUCAUUAAAUCAGUUAUCGUUUAUUUGAUAGUACCCUACUACAUGGAUACCUGUGGUAAUUCUAGAGCUAAUACAUGCCUAAAACCCCGACUUCGGAAGGGGUGUAUUUAUUAGAUAAAAAACCAAUGCCCUUCGGGGCUCCUUGGUGAUUCAUAAUAACUUCACGAAUCGCAUGGCCUUGCGCCGGCGAUGGUUCAUUCAAAUUUCUGCCCUAUCAACUUUCGAUGGUAGGAUAGUGGCCUACCAUGGUGGCAACGGGUAACGGGGAAUUAGGGUUCGAUUCCGGAGAGGGAGCCUGAGAAACGGCUACCACAUCCAAGGAAGGCAGCAGGCGCGCAAAUUACCCAAUCCCGAUACGGGGAGGUAGUGACAAUAAAUACUGAUACAGGGCUCUUUUGGGUCUUGUAAUUGGAAUGAGAACAAUCUAAAUCCCUUAACGAGGAACAAUUGGAGGGCAAGUCUGGUGCCAGCAGCCGCGGUAAUUCCAGCUCCAAUAGCGUAUAUUAAAGUUGUUGCAGUUAAAAAGCUCGUAGUUGAACCUUGGGCCCGUCCUGCCGGUCCGCCUCACCGCGAGUACUGGUCCGGAUGGGCCUUUCUUUCUGGGGAAUCCCAUGGCCUUCACUGGCUGUGGCGGGGAACCAGGACUUUUACUGUGAAAAAAUUAGAGUGUUCAAAGCAGGCCUUUGCUCGGAUACAUUAGCAUGGAAUAAUAGAAUAGGACGUGCGGUUCUAUUUUGUUGGUUUCUAGGACCGCCGUAAUGAUUAAUAGGGAUAGUCGGGGGCGUCAGUAUUCAGCUGUCAGAGGUGAAAUUCUUGGAUUUGCUGAAGACUAACUACUGCGAAAGCAUUCGCCAAGGAUGUUUUCAUUAAUCAGGGAACGAAAGUUAGGGGAUCGAAGACGAUCAGAUACCGUCGUAGUCUUAACCAUAAACUAUGCCGACUAGGGAUCGGGCGGUGUUUCUAUGAUGACCCGCUCGGCACCUUACGAGAAAUCAAAGUUU
This 1013-nucleotide ribosomal RNA is filed under the name Talaromyces resedanus. RNAcentral's name for it is "SSU rRNA". It matches the Rfam family "Eukaryotic small subunit ribosomal RNA", at positions 85 to 1106 of the family's 1831-position model. The record is from RNAcentral. Lineage: Eukaryota; Fungi; Ascomycota; Eurotiomycetes; Eurotiales; Trichocomaceae.